Long non-coding RNA from Cygnus olor (mute swan), 897 nucleotides. RefSeq lists it as uncharacterized. The record is from RefSeq and is a predicted model, not a curated record. The transcript has 3 exons. NCBI's taxonomy places the organism in Eukaryota, Metazoa, Chordata, Aves, Anseriformes, Anatidae.
UGCAUCAUUAGAGAUCCUUGCUGAUGGCUAAACUGCUUUGCAUCUAAAUGAGACCUAACCUGAACAGCUGUUCAACUGGUGCAUGUGAAGGAUUUACAGUGCUGGGUAGUGGGAAGUUUUAAAUCACCAUGUGAGCACAAAGGAGAGGAGCUGUCAGGAGAGCAUGUGUGAUGGGGGAUUUUCACUCUGUGCUGCAGACCUCCAUUGCCUCCCUGGCUCUGCUUUUUGCACAUCGCAGCACCUACCUCGGGGAAAGACGAAGCUGAGAACCAAGAGCCGUCCAGCACAGAGCCCCAGACAGACUGGAGCAUCCAUGAUAUGGUCUCAGAAGACCCUGCGCUAGCUUCUAAAUUGUCUGUGGAGUGGGACCUGGCAGAGUGAGGCACAACAAAGGUUUUGGACUGAAACAAUGAGAGCACACUCCAGUGACGUCCCAGAUCCCUCACUGAGAAGGGCUUCUGGGUGCUCCAUCCUCACCUAGGCUUUCAGACCCCUAGGAAGGGAACAAGAAAAGAGAAGGGAAGGCUCACUGCGAGUAGAAACGUUAGCAAUUUUUCUUCACAACAGGAGACUCUGCAAUUCUGCAUCUGCAGGCCCUAGUACCGUAUUGCCUCGAGUAAGUAAUUGUCCUAAGCGUGAUCUCCAGGCAGGAUCAAGUCCUGGUCCAAAGCAGUGCACGCCACUAUUUUCCUGGCAACCUCCAGUCUGUCUCCUUGUAACAGGCUUCCCAACUGACAGGCUUCAUUUUAGGAUGGUAAUCACAUAGAGAGGCUGUAGUAAGUGAAUUUAAUUUCUCUUCUGGCCUAGCAGCAGACCCUCUUGGAUGAAUGGUCAGAGUUUGCAUUUAAAAGCUCAGUGCAAAAAGUAGUAUCUAUGGGUGAUUGAGCUCGCAGUGUA